AUCCAGCUGAAGUGUCCAAAACAGGAUGAAAUAUAUGUCGUGGAU
Molecule: non-coding RNA, 45 nt
Organism: Schistosoma mattheei
Lineage: Eukaryota; Metazoa; Platyhelminthes; Trematoda; Strigeidida; Schistosomatidae
Source: Rfam